Molecule: long non-coding RNA, 1376 nt
Filed under: Sus scrofa (pig)
Lineage: Eukaryota; Metazoa; Chordata; Mammalia; Artiodactyla; Suidae
Description: lncRNA (ENSSSCG00070010098.1)
Source: RNAcentral
ACUGACCUGCCUGAGUUGGAGUGAAGUGAGAGCCUUCCAGAGGUGGAAUUCUAAAGGAAGAAAGUUCCUUUUGGCAUUUAAAGAGUUAGUAGAACUUGGGUUCCGCUUUAUGGGUUAGUCUGUUAGUCAGAAAAUUUCCAGAAAUUAGAAGUAAGUAAACCUCUGUAGCCAAGGUUAGAAGAUAAUUCUUUAUUCUGCUUGCCGAUUGGCUUAUUGAAAUUUCUGCUGCCCUUUAAAGCAAUGUUUCCUGAAACACCUUCUGGGUGAGAAACUUCUUACAUUAGUAAGUAGGUGAGAGUGCAUCAUGGAAGUUAUGGCAGAAGCAACAAGAUGAUGCUAAGAUCUCUAAAUCAAAACUUGAUCACCUCCUAGCUCUAUUAGGGGCUGACAUAUUUUUUUUUUUAAUGGUGGUGAAUUUAUACUGAUUCCUAUGUUAAUUCACAAGUAAAAUGUACCAUACUGAAUAACCAUAGUCAUUGUUUCAUUAUUCUCUGUGCUUUAAUAUCACUUCCUAAGUAAUACCAUCUUCUUUUGUCUUCUGUUUCAUUUAAUGCUAGUUUCUUAUGGGAACCAGAAGAGUCAUUAUAAGAUGACUCAAAUGAAGUCAUGGAUUUAUAUGCACUGUUUUUGUGGUGGCAAAUGAAAAUGCAUUGACAGUGGAAAAGACUGAAAGGGGAUGAGAAGAAAGAAGCUACUAAUGUCAGGAUUUGGUCUAAUGGAUUCAUCUAUAGAUGGUAGCUCUGUGGGAGGGGCUUACAUCCAAAACCAUCUAUAAAAGCAUUUGUAUGUAUAACACAACUGUUUGCAUAUUUAUAGGGUAUGUGAGUAACAUACCCUUUUCUCAUCAUUAUUCUCUUGAGCUUUCAUCUCAUGGUUAGAGUAGUUGCUGCAGCUGAGCCUGCUGGUUAAUGUCAUGUUGGGACCGAAGUGAAAGCGACAAGGUAAGUGUCCUUCAUUUCUAAGGGGCAUUAUGGCAGGAGAAGUCAGGGUUCAUUUUGGCUGAUUCACAGACCAACUAAAUCAGCUUAGAUUCAGCUGAUAGAAGACAGUAGGGUCAUGGAUCAGCAGGAUUCAUUGCUCAGGUAUAAUAUUUUGCAGAGUGAUUGACAGAGCAAAGAGUAAAACAAAACAAAAAAGUACAACAGCAAAACAAAGCAAACUACUACCACCACCAAAUCUCUGUGGGAAGACCUAGAGGAGAAAGGACAAUUAGUCAGGGUUAGAAAAUGGUCACAAGCACUUAUGAAGCUUCUAGAAAGUGGGAAGGACUACUCUAACAUUUGUAACAGAAACUCAGUAAACUCUCGCAAACUGAUUAAGGCUGAUCUUGCCUAUCUGCAAAAGCAAUAUUCCAGUGCUUUGUUCUUCAAUAGUAG